Antechinus flavipes (yellow-footed antechinus) is the source of this 717-nucleotide long non-coding RNA. RefSeq lists it as uncharacterized. The record is from RefSeq and is a predicted model, not a curated record. The transcript has 4 exons. NCBI's taxonomy places the organism in Eukaryota, Metazoa, Chordata, Mammalia, Dasyuromorphia, Dasyuridae.
GCUUUUCCCAGUCCUUUUGAUUAAUUUGCCAAUAGAUAUGUAAGCAUCUUGAAAGGUCAUAAAGAUUAGAAACCUGGUGAAGAUUUUUUUGUUUUGUAAAGUUACAAGUCAAGGUUUUUUGUGGGCCUGCAGAGCAGCAGCACAGCAGGCAAGGCUGACCUCCUCCUACUAAAUAACCACAGAGAUGAUUGAAACAUGUCUAAUUAGCCUCCCAAACACUGAGCUAGCUCUCCAGUGCAUGUGUCGGCCUCAUUAUCAAUGUUUACAUCCCUGGAAAGUAUAGUGUCAAGGAGGUGAAUGGAGAGAAAAAACCAGCCCUUUCCAAAAGUUAUGACCCAAAACUCUUCAAAAGACUGUCAUCCCAAGGUCCAAUCAAGGUUACCAUAUUCAUCAUCAUUAAAAGAAGAUCACUGGUCCAGAGCUAAUCAAAUACCCCACUUUUAUCAGCCUAGACCCAAAGUAUUACAACUUCCAAAGCCAAAGUUCACACUUGUAGAACCCUGGAAAGACAAGGAAAAAAGCCAGGAACUAUCCUACAAUCAGAAAAUGGCUGACCUGUUACCCUAUCUUGAUAGUUGGAAUAUGGCUAAACCACCCAUACUCCAGAAAUGCCAUUAUAUGGCCACAGUUUUGCCUUCGAUAUAUCAGGAGUACAGUAUUAAGAGAAUUUUUUUAAGUUUGCCAACCCCAGAAUAAAAUGUGAAAUCUCAACUCAGA